CUGGCUCAGGAUGAACGCUAGCGACAGGCUUAACACAUGCAAGUCGAGGGGCAGCAUAAAAGUAGCAAUACUUGGUGGCGACCGGCGCACGGGUGAGUAACGCGUAUGCAACCUACCUAUCAGAGGGGAAUAACCCGGCGAAAGUCGGACUAAUACCGCAUAAAACAGGGGCACCGCAUGGUGAUAUUUGUUAAAGAAAUUCGCUGAUAGAUGGGCAUGCGUUCCAUUAGGUAGUUGGUGAGGUAACGGCUCACCAAGCCGACGAUGGAUAGGGGAACUGAGAGGUUGGUCCCCCACACUGGUACUGAGACACGGACCAGACUCCUACGGGAGGCAGCAGUGAGGAAUAUUGGUCAAUGGGCGAGAGCCUGAACCAGCCAAGUCGCCGUGAAGGAAGAAGGAUCUAUGGUUCGUAAACUUCUUUUGCAGGGGAAUAAAGUGCAGGACGUGUCCUGUUUUGUAUGUACCCUGAGAAUAAGGAUCGGCUAACUCCGUGCCAGCCGCCGC
RNAcentral lists this ribosomal RNA (507 nucleotides) under uncultured bacterium. RNAcentral's name for it is "bacterial SSU rRNA". It matches the Rfam family "Bacterial small subunit ribosomal RNA", at positions 19 to 518 of the family's 1533-position model. The record is from RNAcentral.